This is a non-coding RNA of Arachis ipaensis, 1347 nucleotides long. NCBI's taxonomy places the organism in Eukaryota, Viridiplantae, Streptophyta, Magnoliopsida, Fabales, Fabaceae. The record is from RefSeq and is a predicted model, not a curated record.
AAAAAAACCCAACGUUCAGCCCUCACUCACUCACUCACCCCCUUCCCCCAACACGGCAACACCCCCACCUAUUCGUGAAUCACUAUCCCUCUGAACUCUGAAGCAAAGUUCAAAAUCACCCUGCGAAAACCCUAGGUUCUCCCUGCAAUGGUUCUGCCGCAGUGCCGCCGCCAUCCGUGCUAUCGGCGCCUCCGUGUCCUCUCUUGUAACUCAGGCCCUCUCUUGUAGCUCGGCGUCCUCCUUCCCCUGUCCCCGUCCUCCCUGGCUUCUCUGUUCGAGGUUGGAGCAGCUCGCCGCUCACCGGUCUCCGUCGAAGAACUGAGAAGGAAAAUGGCAAUCUAAACCAGCAAAAGGAUUUCCGCAGCGUAAGCGCGUGCUCACACUCGCAGGAACAAGAAAACUAACUUUUUUUUUGCCCUCUGGUACCUCUUCGUCUUUCCUUCUAUUUCUGCACUUGCUCAUUGUAUAGUAAGUCAACUCUUUGGAUUUAUGGCAUAAUUGAAUUGGAGAUUCAAGAGACACAGUUGAUUUCUAAUACUGAAAAUUCACCCUUAGUUUUGAUCUAAAUUGUUUUGUUUAGUAGGAGCUAAUAGAAUCUCUUCAUGGCUUUAUCAUUGUUGUUUUCCAAGUUAUACUAGUUUCUUGUAAGAGAAUUAAAGCUAGCUAGUCUUGCCUUCCGUUUUGCACAAAUAAGAAUAUGUAAAUAGGCCAUUUUCUCAAAACUAUAGUUAAAAUUAGGAAGUUUAAUUUAAUAAUAUAUGAUGCAGAUACGCCCAUGGUACAAAUAUUUGAGUAGAAACGAAGUAUUUGUACAUUGUAGCUUGCAUAUGUUGCGGAAUAGGAUAAUAACAAUUAAGAGUAUUGAGUAUUGAUAUACUUGUUAUCUCUCCUUGAAAUGUUACUCUCUAUUUACUGUUUUAAUUUAGCUUUGCAUUCUCUCGGGACUUUUUGGAACAGUGAUUAUAAUGUUGUUUAUUGGGUUUCUUUCAAUAUAUUAUAGUAUUAUCUGAUAUCUUCACACUUUGUACUAUUUGAAUUGGCAUUUCUUUCAAUAGUCACUCACAAGCUGCUUUUACAUUCUAAGAUGUUUAUUUAUAAUUUAUUAAUUAUUUUAUUCUAAAAUAGUUUUUUCGGUUGAACUACGGUUAGACCGGUUGGAUCAGUGAACCAGUGACUAGAGCAGUUUGAUGACUAGUCCGGUUCUCAGAACCUUGGUUGCAACACAGAACUCUUCGUAUAAAUUAGUCCAUGGAGGGAAAAUACGAGAACAAUACCCGUGUCUCUGUUAAACCUCACGUAUCCUGGCAAAAUAAGUUAAGUUUAGUGAUUAAAAAAAAAAAAAAAAAG